This 421-nucleotide ribosomal RNA is filed under the name uncultured bacterium. RNAcentral describes it as "bacterial SSU rRNA". It matches the Rfam family "Bacterial small subunit ribosomal RNA", at positions 355 to 793 of the family's 1533-position model. The record is from RNAcentral.
UGGGGAAUCUUGGACAAUGGGCGCAAGCCUGAUCCAGCCAUGCCGCGUGGAUGAUGAAGGCCCUAGGGUUGUAAAAUCCUUUCGUUGGGGACGAUAAUGACGGUACCCAAAGAAGAAGCUCCGGCUAACUUCGUGCCAGCAGCCGCGGUAAUACGAAGGGGGCUAGCGUUGUUCGGAUUUACUGGGCGUAAAGCGCGUGUAGGCGGGUCGUUAAGUUGGGGGUGAAAUCCCGAGGCUCAACCUCGGAACUGCCUUCAAAACUGGCGACCUGGACUCAAGCAGAGGCAAGUGGAAUUGCGAGUGUAGAGGUGAAAUUCGUAGAUAUUCGCAGGAACACCAGUGGCGAAGGCGACUUGCUGGGCUUGUAGUGACGCUGAGACGCGAAAGCGUGGGGAGCAAACAGGAUUAGAAACCCUGGUAG